Molecule: ribosomal RNA, 253 nt
Filed under: uncultured bacterium
Lineage: Bacteria
Description: partial 16S ribosomal RNA
Rfam family: Bacterial small subunit ribosomal RNA
Source: RNAcentral
UACAGAGGGGGCAAGCGUUGUUCGGAAUUACUGGGCGUAAAGGGCGCGUAGGCGGCCUGCUAAGUCGAACGUGAAAUCCCCGGGCUCAACCCGGGAACUGCCGUCCAAACUGCUUCGCUUGAGACCGGGAGAGGUGAGUGGAAUUCCCAGUGUAGCGGUGAAAUGCGUAGAUAUUGGGAGGAACACCAGUGGCGAAGGCGGCUCACUGGACCGGUACUGACGCUGAUGCGCGAAAGCGUGGGGAGCAAACGGG